AUGUUUUCUACUACAAUUUACUGGUUGGGCUGUUGUGAUUCUGACUUUGCUUUUACUUGCGAUACCAUGAUAAUUGUUUCUGAACUUGUAGAAAAUUUCCUUUUCAACCUCUAUUGUGAACCAAAGCUUGGAUUUGUGAUUUAUAAUAGAGGUCACGGGCCAAUGAUAGGACCACAAUUCUGA
This is a non-coding RNA of Vicia faba (fava bean), 183 nucleotides long. Lineage: Eukaryota; Viridiplantae; Streptophyta; Magnoliopsida; Fabales; Fabaceae. The record is from the annotation of a GenBank genome assembly.